GAUGAACGCUAGCUACAGGCUUAACACAUGCAAGUCGAGGGGAAACGGCAUUGAGUGCUUGCACUCUUUGGACGUCGACCGGCGCACGGGUGAGUAACGCGUAUCCAACCUUCCCAUUACUGUGGGAUAACCUGCCGAAAGGCAGACUAAUACCGCAUAGUCUUCGAUGACGGCAUCAGAUUUGAAGUAAAGAUUUAUCGGUAAUGGAUGGGGAUGCGUCUGAUUAGCUUGUUGGCGGGGUAACGGCCCACCAAGGCAACGAUCAGUAGGGGUUCUGAGAGGAAGGUCCCCCACAUUGGAGCUGAGACACGGUCCAAACUCCUACGGGAGGCAGCAGUGAGGAAUAUUGGUCAAUGGACGGAAGUCCGAACCAGCCAAGUAGCGUGUAGGAUGACGGCCCUAUGGGUUGUAAACUGCUUUUGUAUGGGGAUAAAGUUAGGGACGUGUCCCUAUUUGCAGGUACCAUACGAAUAAGGACCGGCUAAUUCCGUGCCAGCAGCCGCGGUAAUACGGAAGGUCCAGGCGUUAUCCGGAUUUAUUGGGUUUAAAGGGAGCGUAGGCUGGAGAUUAAGUGUGUUGUGAAAUGUAGACGCUCAACGUCUGAAUUGCAGCGCAUACUGGUUUCCUUGAGUACGCACAACGUUGGCGGAAUUCGUCGUGUAGCGGUGAAAUGCUUAGAUAUGACGAAGAACUCCGAUUGCGAAGGCAGCUGACGGGAGCGCAACUGACGCUUAAGCUCGAAGGUGCGGGUAUCAAACAGG
Molecule: ribosomal RNA, 761 nt
Filed under: Prevotella melaninogenica
Lineage: Bacteria; Pseudomonadati; Bacteroidota; Bacteroidia; Bacteroidales; Prevotellaceae
Description: bacterial SSU rRNA
Rfam family: Bacterial small subunit ribosomal RNA
Source: RNAcentral